This 548-nucleotide ribosomal RNA is filed under the name uncultured bacterium. Its description in RNAcentral is "bacterial SSU rRNA". It matches the Rfam family "Bacterial small subunit ribosomal RNA", at positions 356 to 896 of the family's 1533-position model. The record is from RNAcentral.
GGGGAAUUUUGGACAAUGGGCGCAAGCCUGAUCCAGCCAUGCCGCGUGUCUGAAGAAGGCCUUCGGGUUGUAAAGGACUUUUGUCAGGGAAGAAAAGGCUGUUGCUAAUAUCAAUAGCUGAUGACGGUACCUGAAGAAUAAGCACCGGCUAACUACGUGCCAGCAGCCGCGGUAAUACGUAGGGUGCGAGCGUUAAUCGGAAUUACUGGGCGUAAAGCGAGCGCAGACGGUUACUUAAGCAGGAUGUGAAAUCCCCGGGCUCAACCUGGGAACUGCGUUCUGAACUGAGUGACUAGAGUGUGUCAGAGGGAGGUAGAAUUCCACGUGUAGCAGUGAAAUGCGUAGAGAUGUGGAGGAAUACCGAUGGCGAAGGCAGCCUCCUGGGAUAACACUGACGUUCAUGCUCGAAAGCGUGGGUAGCAAACAGGAUUAGAUGCCCUGGUAGUCCACGCCCUAAACGAUGUCAAUUAGCUGUUGGGCAACUUGAUUGCUUAGUAGCGUAGCUAACGCGUGAAAUUGACCGCCUGGGGAGUACGGUCGCAAGAUUA